AUUGAACGCUAGCGGGAUGCUUAACACAUGCAAGUCGAACGGCAGCGCGGACUUCGGUCUGGCGGCGCGUGGAGAACGGGUGAGUGAUGUAUCGGAACGUGCCCAGUCGCGGGGGAUAACUACGCGAAAGAGUAGCUAAUACCGCACACGCCCUACGGGGGAAAGCCAGGGAUCGUAAGACCUUGCACUAUUGGAGGGGCCGAUAUCGGAUUAGCUAGUUGGUGAGGUAACGGCUCACCAAGGCGGCGAUCCGCAGCUGGUUUGAGAGGACGACCAGCCACACUGGGACUGAGACACGGCCCAGACUCCUACGGGAGGCAGCAGUGGGGAAUUUUGGACAAUGGGGGCAACCCUGAUCCAGCCACCCCGCGUGUGCGAUGAAGGCCUUCGGGUUGUAAAGCACUUUUGGCAGGAAAGAAACGUCGCGGGCUAAUACCCCGUGGUACUGACGGUACCUGCAGAAUAAGCACCGGCUAACUACGUG
Molecule: ribosomal RNA, 484 nt
Filed under: uncultured bacterium
Lineage: Bacteria
Description: partial 16S ribosomal RNA
Rfam family: Bacterial small subunit ribosomal RNA
Source: RNAcentral